UUGUGUGCGGUUGUUGUUGUUGUGCAUUCUGUGUGGUUCGAUUUCUCAUUUUGUUGAUUAUUAUGCGAAUUAAGAAGAAUUAAAGUGAAUAAUUGUGUGCUAAAAUAGUUUGAAGUGUGUUCAGAUGACCUGUGUGAUGGAGCAACAACUUUAAACUGGGGGAGUGUGAUGAUGCAAACUACGAGAUACUUUGGCUACGAUGAAGUCUACGUCCAAGCCGUCUGCUUCACACUCAAAAUCGGCGGGCUUCUAUCGGAAGUUGGCCGCCCGCAGCUGGAUAGAGGCCACCUUCCAGAAGCGAGAAUGCGUCAAAUUCAUCCCCAGCCCCAAAGAUGAGCACAGG
Molecule: long non-coding RNA, 343 nt
Organism: Macrosteles quadrilineatus (aster leafhopper)
Lineage: Eukaryota; Metazoa; Arthropoda; Insecta; Hemiptera; Cicadellidae
Exons: 4
Source: RefSeq, a predicted model, not a curated record